CUUGAGGGGCAUUAGUGAAAAAGCUUUUUGAAGUCACCUAUAUUUGCAAGUUACAAUCUACAAUCUCUGUUGCCAUCUUGAUCUAAAUUAGGUAUUCUCCAUCUUGAUUUAAUCUUUAUCAAAUAAAUUGGUACAAGAUUUUGGAAGUCGUGUUGGGCCUUUCUUUUUUUUGGAUCUUUUACAGUUGGCAUUCUUUCGGAUGAUGGCAAUAAAUCGAGCUUUCGUUGCUGCUCAAUAGCAAGAACAAUAAUCGAUCAAUCAUUCUCUCAGUAUUAUUCUGUUGUGCCCGAAAUACAACCACAAAAACCCAAGAAAACCAAAGUGAAAAACAACACAAGAAGAAAAGGGUUUGACACGACGAUCGUGGAGGAAGUGUUGUCACGAGCGUGGGUUAAUGUUUCUCGAGAUCCAAUAAAAGGUUCUAUGGUUAAAAAGAUGGAUUUCCAAAUAAAAAGACGAGUUUAAUGGAAAAGAUCAAAAGCUGUGGGAUCAGGCCCAAGUACGAUUGGUACCAUUUGGAGUAGGGUACGGAUCAUACCGUUUAAAGAUAGGCUGGAUGGCACCACCUUUUAGAAGUCGAAACCCUAGUAGACCUAGACGCUGACGUUGAAAGGUGCGGGUCGUACUUGAUUAAUGAGCAUACGGGUCGUACCUGAUAUACGUUAAAUUAUACAUGUUUUUAUACCCCAAAACACUUCCGUUUUAAGCGUGUUUGACCGAAAACUCGACGGUUAGGUACCAAAAUCGGUACUUUUAUAUUUUUAGGUCUUAAACAGAGCAUAAAGGAAAAUUCUGAUGAAAACGGACAAAUUCUAAUGCAUUUCUGAUAAAACGGACAUAAAAAUCUGAUGACUGCCAGGUGUCGCAUGGCCGUGCGAUCCAACCGCACUACCGUGCGAGACCUCCGACCUCGGAAGCACUGCCAGUGCGACUCAUGGUGCCGCUGAUUACUCGAACCGCACUCCCGUGCGAGCCAACCGCACCCCCAUGCACCACCUGGACCAUACUUUCUGAUCACGAUUCUGAUGACCUCGCACUACCGUGCGACCAGUCGCAUGACUGUGCCGAUCUGGUGACCUAGACAAGUUGUCCACUAGUCCACUUGGCUGACCCGGGAUCGCUGAAACUGACGUCACCCGACAAGGCCUGACCGCACGGCCGUGCGACCCAACGGCACGGUCGUGCCAAACUGAAAAUUGCCUAUAAAUAGCAGCAUUAGCUACUGAUCAAAAUGUUUCCAUGUUUCUGGGCGAUUUUUGGGUUCCGAAGCAGUCCUGAUCAGACCCUUUUGAAGCUUAAAGAUCGAAUGGAAGCAUAACCGAUCCAAC
Helianthus annuus (common sunflower) is the source of this 1328-nucleotide long non-coding RNA. RefSeq lists it as uncharacterized. NCBI's taxonomy places the organism in Eukaryota, Viridiplantae, Streptophyta, Magnoliopsida, Asterales, Asteraceae. The transcript is spliced from 3 exons. The record is from RefSeq and is a predicted model, not a curated record.